This 253-nucleotide ribosomal RNA is filed under the name uncultured bacterium. RNAcentral's name for it is "partial 16S ribosomal RNA". It matches the Rfam family "Bacterial small subunit ribosomal RNA", at positions 524 to 776 of the family's 1533-position model. The record is from RNAcentral.
GACGUAGGGGGCCAGCGUUGUUCGGAAUUACUGGGUGUAAAGGGUUCGUAGGCGGUGCGGCAAGUUGGGAGUGAAAUCUCUGGGCUUAACCCAGAGGCUGCUUCCAAAACUGCUGUGCUUGAGUGUGGGAGAGGCGCGUGGAGUUGCAGGUGUAGCGGUGAAAUGCGUAGAUAUCUGCAGGAACACCCGUGGCGAAAGCGGCGCGCUGGACCACUACUGACGCUGAGGAACGAAAGCUAGGGGAGCAAACAGG